Aphis gossypii (cotton aphid) is the source of this 420-nucleotide long non-coding RNA. RefSeq lists it as uncharacterized. Lineage: Eukaryota; Metazoa; Arthropoda; Insecta; Hemiptera; Aphididae. The record is from RefSeq and is a predicted model, not a curated record. The transcript has 3 exons.
CUAGUAUUUAUUAACAUACUUCUCUUCAUAUAUAUCCCAAGAGCUCAGUUCUUAAUGAACUUCAAUAACCUUUUGAAAGAGAGACGUUAAUAAUAAAAUAUUGUUACACAUGGUACAGUUAUUAAAGCAGCCUCGCGGCGACUAGACACUAAAAACACACGACUUUGCAGUUUGCACUGACCGAAAAUUCAGAAUACUAUACAUCGAAUUUGUCGAAAACUGGUUACGAGAAAUCACCUCUGAAGGUUUAAACUGAAGCAUUAUUUCGACAAGUUAUGGUGUAUUCAAACACAAAAACAAAAACACGCACACAUCAUUGUAGAAUCAAUACAUUCGUAAUUCUAAAAGGGUAAACGUAUUUAGUGAAAUAUAGUGUAAUUUGUACAAUUAACAAUUAUACAAAUCUAAUCAUGUGUAUUA